Molecule: ribosomal RNA, 475 nt
Filed under: uncultured organism
Description: partial 16S ribosomal RNA
Rfam family: Bacterial small subunit ribosomal RNA
Source: RNAcentral
CACUCCUACGGGAGGCAGCAGUGGGGAAUUUUGGACAAUGGGCGAAAGCCUGAUCCAGCAAUGCCGCGUGAGUGAAGAAGGCCUUCGGGUUGUAAAGCUCUUUUGUCAGGGAAGAAACGGUGAGAGCUAAUAUCUCUUGCUAAUGACGGUACCUGAAGAAUAAGCACCGGCUAACUACGUGCCAGCAGCCGCGGUAAUACGUAGGGUGCAAGCGUUAAUCGGAAUUACUGGGCGUAAAGCGUGCGCAGGCGGUUUUGUAAGUCUGAUGUGAAAUCCCCGGGCUCAACCUGGGAAUUGCAUUGGAGACUGCAAGGCUAGAAUCUGGCAGAGGGGGGUAGAAUUCCACGUGUAGCAGUGAAAUGCGUAGAUAUGUGGAGGAACACCGAUGGCGAAGGCAGCCCCCUGGGUCAAGAUUGACGCUCAUGCACGAAAGCGUGGGGAGCAAACAGGAUUAGAAACCCUUGUAGUCCCAUGA